RNAcentral lists this ribosomal RNA (473 nucleotides) under uncultured bacterium. RNAcentral's name for it is "bacterial SSU rRNA". It matches the Rfam family "Bacterial small subunit ribosomal RNA", at positions 30 to 507 of the family's 1533-position model. The record is from RNAcentral.
AUUGAACGCUGGCGGCAGGCUUAACACAUGCAAGUCGAACGGAACCUUCGGGUUAGUGGCGAACGGGUGAGUAAUACCUAGGAAUCUGCCUAUUAGUGGGGGAUAACGGCUCGAAACGGGUCGCUAAUACCGCAUACGUCCUACGGGAGAAAGCAGGGGGACCUUCGGGCCUUGCGCUAUCAGAUGAGCCCAGGUCGGAUUAGCUAGUUGGUGGGGUAAAGGCCCACCAAGGCGACGAUCUGUAGCGGGUCUGAGAGGAUGAUCCGCCACACUGGGACUGAGACACGGCCCAGACUCCUACGGGAGGCAGCAGUGGGGAAUUUUGGACAAUGGGCGCAAGCCUGAUCCAGCCAUGCCGCGUGCGGGACGAAGGCCUUCGGGUUGUAAACCGCUUUCAGCCGGAAAGAAAUCGCCGUUUUUAAUACAGACGGUGGAUGACGGUACCGGAAGAAGAAGCACCGGCUAACUACGUG